RNAcentral lists this long non-coding RNA (701 nucleotides) under Callithrix jacchus (white-tufted-ear marmoset). Its description in RNAcentral is "lncRNA (ENSCJAG00000079331.1)". Lineage: Eukaryota; Metazoa; Chordata; Mammalia; Primates; Cebidae. The record is from RNAcentral.
AAUGACCCCUGUGGGCAGGGACCAGGCAGAAGAAUCACAUUUCCCUUGUGCUUGACCCAGCAAUAAAUCACUCUCUAUUCUGUGGGUAUGGUCCAGUUAGAGAGCAGAGUCCCAUCACCUAGGUGCUGGGCCCAGAGAUACGUCACAAUCUCUUCGAUGAACAAAGCCCAGGAAGCCUAAAUGUGCUUGAUCUGAAGUGCCCUAUUCCCCUCAUUGACUGAAAUUGGACCUGUUCUACCUGAUCAGGAAACCUGGACUGCAUUUUUCAAAUUAAUGGUGUCAGCAUGUCUCAGCAAUAAGUACAUUACAAUAAAUAAAUGUAUCAAUCUAAAAAUCUCAUUUGUUCAGAUAUGAUUAGUGGAAGAUAAGGUUUGCCCAAAUUGUAGGAACAUCUGAAUCAUUUUGUUUUUAUUGGAGGCUCAAGGAAAUUAACCAAAUUACCCAAGGUCACCAGCUAGCAAUGUUUCAGUCCAGUUUUCACUUUCUCUCUUCCAAUAUUUCUCUUCCUGCUCAACUCUCUGGGAAAAGUAGGAAAUAUUGAGACAAAGGUGAAAUAAAUUUUAUUAAUAUUAGUUUGCUAGAAUGUGUUCAGCUGCAAGAAACAGAAAAUCUACCAUCUUAAAUCUUAAGGAUAUCAAUCACUUAAUAGUUUAAGUUGUGCAAUGGGUGGUUUAAAAGUUUACUCAAUAUGUUCAUCAAGG